GCAACUAACCUAAUCCAAUUUGGACUGUGGGAGGAAGGCGGAGGACCCUGACAGAACAUGCAGAGCUCCAGGGGAACAUGCUGCCGGAUCAAGGACCUUCUUGCUGUGAGGCGACAGUGCUAACCACCACACCACCGUGCCGCCCUCUAUUGAUUGCUAAUGGGAAGCUACUGACUGGGCCUGAGACUCCGAUUGAUGGUGAAUAUACUGUUAAAGAUGGUGGAAGGAUGUGCAGCAAGAAUACCAAAAUACUCUGCUUUCCGAAAAGUCGGCUCUGUCAAUGCUGAGGUGUUUAUCAGUGGUCCUCUAUACCACAAGUCAGAGGAGGAGAUGAAAGACGUCUUUCAACUACUGACUAUACGGCAAGAGACAGGAGGAGUGUAAACAUAAGAAAAGCACAUAUAGAGACCUUCAGGGAAAGAUGCUCCCACCUAGGGGGAGCCAAGAGGAGGAGUCUCCAACGUCAUCAUCGGGGACCGGCUCCGGUCCCCAACUGCCCCCUCCACCUCCAAGAGGAGGUUACUGUUGGGCAUUAGGCACAAACUUAAUAUUGGGGUUCUAACUGAAACCUGGUUGGACCAAGAUAAUGCAGCUGUUCUCAUUGCAUCUUCACCUCCCCAUUCCAGUUUGUCACUCAGCAUGUGACUCAGCAUGUGACCCGCCCAACAAAGAGCACACCCUGAACCUAAUCAUCGCAUUCAUCUCCAGUAGACUGCACUAUAGUGACGGGGUGUUCAAAGGAACUCUGUAAAAAGCCAGUCAGACAACUCCAGCUGAUUGAGAACGCUGCAGGUCGAGUCCUCACCAAGACCAAGAAAGUGGAUGACAUCGUUCCAGUUCUGAGGUCUUAACACUGGCUCCCUGUCCAACAAAGAUUUUACUUUAAAAUCCUGCUCUUGGUUUAUAAAGCACUGAAUGGUUUAAGGACAAAAUACAUGUCUGACCUGCUGCUACCUCACAUAUCAUCCCGACC
Long non-coding RNA from Gasterosteus aculeatus aculeatus (three-spined stickleback), 973 nucleotides. Lineage: Eukaryota; Metazoa; Chordata; Actinopteri; Perciformes; Gasterosteidae. The record is from Ensembl.